UGCCAGCCGCCGCGGUAAUACGGAGGGUGCAAGCGUUGUCCGGAUUUAUUGGGUUUAAAGGGUGCGUAGGUGGUUUAUUAAGUCAGUGGUGAAAUCCUGCAGCUUAACUGUGGAACUGCCAUUGAUACUGGUAACCUUGAGUGUCGUUGAGGCAGGCGGAAUUUAUGGUGUAGCGGUGAAAUGCAUAGAUACCAUAAAGAACACCGAUAGCGAAGGCAGCUUGCUUAGCGACAACUGACACUGAUGCACGAAAGCGUGGGUAGCGAACAGGAUUAGAUA
This 279-nucleotide ribosomal RNA is filed under the name uncultured bacterium. Its description in RNAcentral is "partial 16S ribosomal RNA". It matches the Rfam family "Bacterial small subunit ribosomal RNA", at positions 506 to 784 of the family's 1533-position model. The record is from RNAcentral.